RNAcentral lists this antisense RNA (75 nucleotides) under Streptomyces lavendulae subsp. lavendulae. RNAcentral describes it as "ASpks TB sRNA". It matches the Rfam family "ASpks TB sRNA". Lineage: Bacteria; Bacillati; Actinomycetota; Actinomycetes; Kitasatosporales; Streptomycetaceae. The record is from Rfam by way of RNAcentral.
CUUGAUCGAACCGAGCAGCAGCGCCCGGCCCUCCGCCCGGUCCUGCCCGUACGUCGCCAGCAGCGCCUGCGCCUC